Molecule: transfer RNA, 76 nt
Filed under: Holosporales bacterium
Lineage: Bacteria; Pseudomonadati; Pseudomonadota; Alphaproteobacteria; Holosporales
Description: tRNA-Ser
Rfam family: tRNA
About the family: Transfer RNA (tRNA) molecules are approximately 80 nucleotides in length. Their secondary structure includes four short double-helical elements and three loops (D, anti-codon, and T loops).
Source: RNAcentral
GGGAUUAAUAGUAAUGACUGUUUUUACUACGUUGACAUCGUAGAGGUCGUAGGUUCGAACCCUACUGCGCCCACCA